UGGGGAAUUUUGGACAAUGGGCGAAAGCCUGAUCCAGCAAUGCCGCGUGUGUGAAGAAGGCCUUCGGGUUGUAAAGCACUUUUGUCCGGAAAGAAAUCCUUGGCUCUAAUACAGUCGGGGGAUGACGGUACCGGAAGAAUAAGCACCGGCUAACUACGUGCCAGCAGCCGCGGUAAUACGUAGGGUGCAAGCGUUAAUCGGAAUUACUGGGCGUAAAGCGUGCGCAGGCGGUUUGCUAAGACCGAUGUGAAAUCCCCGGGCUCAACCUGGGAACUGCAUUGGUGACUGGCAGGCUAGAGUAUGGCAGAGGGGGGUAGAAUUCCACGUGUAGCAGUGAAAUGCGUAGAGAUGUGGAGGAAUACCGAUGGCGAAGGCAGCCCCCUGGGCCAAUACUGACGCUCAUGCACGAAAAGCGUGGGGAGCAAACAGGAUUAGAUACCCUGGUAGUCCACGCCCUAAAACGAUGUCAACUAGUUGUUGGGGAUUCAUUUCCUUAGUAACGUAGCUAACGCGUGAAGUUGACCGCCUGGGGAGUACGUCGCAAGAUUAAAACUCAAAUGAAUUG
Molecule: ribosomal RNA, 565 nt
Filed under: uncultured bacterium
Lineage: Bacteria
Description: partial 16S ribosomal RNA
Rfam family: Bacterial small subunit ribosomal RNA
Source: RNAcentral